GAUGAACGCUGACAGAAUGCUUAACACAUGCAAGUCUUUGGUGAAGCUGUGCUUGCACAGCCUAGCCAAGGCGGACGGGUGAGUAACGCGUAAGGAACUUGCCCUGCAGUCAGGGAUAACAGACGGAAACGACUGAUAAGACCUGGUAAAGUCAGGCGGACUCAUGUCCAGCCUGAUGAAAAGAGAUGCUGCAGGAGAGCCUUGCGUCCUAUUAGCUUGUUGGUGGGGUAACGGCCCACCAAGGCAAUGAUAGGUAGCCGGCCUGAGAGGGUGGACGGCCACAAGGGGACUGAGAUACGGCCCUUACUCCUACGGGAGGCAGCAGUGGGGAAUAUUGGACAAUGGGGGCAACCCUGAUCCAGCAAUUCUGUGUGAACGAUGAAGGUCUUCGGAUUGUAAAGUGCUUUCAGCAGGGAAGAAAAAAAUGACGGUACCUGCAGAAGAAGCGACGGCUAAAUACGUG
RNAcentral lists this ribosomal RNA (463 nucleotides) under uncultured bacterium. RNAcentral's name for it is "partial 16S ribosomal RNA". It matches the Rfam family "Bacterial small subunit ribosomal RNA", at positions 28 to 507 of the family's 1533-position model. The record is from RNAcentral.